GAUGAAGGCCUCACCUCUCCAGGGUUUUGGUUAAUCAUCUUAUCAAGGCUUUCACUCCAUUCCUCUUGUGCAGCAGCUCCAGACCGGGAGCGUUGGGAUCCGGGACAUCCCCCAGCCCGUCCUUCCCGUGGUAAUCUCCAGCGUGUUGUUUACGAGCCAGCAGGGGUUUAUCACAGCCGGCAUGCACUGGGAUCUGUGGAUAAGUUGUGUAAAGCAUUCCUACUUUUAGUCUUACUCCAUCCAUCAGCAGCUCGAAACCUGUGCAACUAUGAUACUGUGCUAUACUCGUAUCACUGCAUAACUUCCACGGACAUUCACGAACACCCCUGAUGUAACAUUCAAACUCACAUCCAGCCUGUUUGCUGCCUGCAGGACACGCAGCGUGUUUUUGAGGACGUUAUCCAGGGGGGUGUUUCCAUGGCAGCAGGUGAUCCCCAAAAUCUCCACAUUGGGGUCGGCCAGGGCCACCAGGAUGGCCUGAGCAUCGUCCACCCCGGUGUCCACAUCAAGGAUCAGCUUCUUCUUCAUCCUACGUUGAACACCAGCCCAAGCUCAAGAAGAGAAAAAGAGACACCAUUAUGCACCUUGUCGUGUGAAUCCACCCGCCCGACAGGAUCCUACAGAGACACAGAAGUAGAGUGUGCUUGGGAGUGAUAAGACGGACUCACAGGGCUUUUAUAAACUCCAUCCUGAACCUCUCCGAAGAAUCCCUCGCCCAGGAUCCGCCCGACAGAUAUGUCGUCUCUGGAGAUCCUGUGCUUAUCUGAUAAUAAGGAACAACACAACGGUGAUAUUUAUUAAGCUAUCCCCUGGUUUGUUGGCUCUGAAUGAUAUCAAUAUUACAUUUGAAAUAGACUCACCACUAGAGUCUGCUUUCCCCUCUGGAAUCUCAGCAUAAAUGUCCGAACCUGACGUUAGAGAAACGUUUUCACUACUUUGUGAUUUAAACACUUGCUACCACUGCUACUUCACAACUGCUAUAGAUUCACUUACUUUUUCUUAUCCCUACUCCUCACUUUUUACCAUUCUUCACCAUAUGUUAGUCCACUCAUCUUAUUUGUGCCUUAAUCUGCACUUUCUCUCGGCUGAAACAAUGUACAUUUACCCAAAAGUGGGAUAAAUAAAGGAUUUCCAAUUAUUGCUUAGCAUGAUGAUUCCAUAGUUAAAGUAAAAAAGUCUCUGUUGAAUCUGUAGUAAUGUCUUACUCAAACCUUUAUCAUGAACAUUGGAACCACCGCUGGAAGAGAAAGGGAGACAUUGUGGCUUUAAAAUUCUUCUUUAAGCGAGCAAUUAAUAACAUUCCAACUAAAAUUGUGAUGUGAUUCAGGACUCUCACCGUUUCGGGAUGUCGGGUAAUUUAUGUCUUGCCUCUCUCCCUGUAAGGAUCAGAUAUUUGGGGUUUAUCUCAGGGGCUUCAAGGUAAUUCAAUUGUAUUAUAUGUUUGAUUAUCAUGAUUAUGGACAAUAAGAGCCCAAACUAUCCCAGGUUGUAAUAAUGGUGCAUGCUUUUUUUUGCCACAUUUCCUCUCAGGUGUACCUUUGCUGGGUCGAAUAAUGAGCGAGUUUGCAGAGUUGUUCUGCAGCCGACAGUACCCGUCGAUCAGGUCGGCCAUGUUUUCUGCCACAGCCAGGGAGGAGGUAUUGACUGACAGUGGCUGGAAGGUCGGAGACAAAAAUAUACUUGGCUCGCACCUUAAUCUCACUCGACUCUUUAUUAAAGUGAAACUCGGGGUCGAUUGUAAAGUGUGAAAACACUGGUCUGCCACUUUACAUUUAUUUUUAGGAAAGGAUGAAAAAAACCCUAAGCUAAUUGACUGGAAAUAAUGCUGUUUGUAUUACUUCAUCGGGUUAAUACAUACCUGUUUGGCUCCCUCUAUGUGCACGGUGAGCAGAGCGCGGCCGUCACUCUCUGCAGAGCAGGAGAUGCUGCUCACCUGAGAGAAGGUGGCCAAACACACGGGCUGCAGAAGAG
Molecule: long non-coding RNA, 1971 nt
Organism: Eleginops maclovinus (Patagonian blennie)
Lineage: Eukaryota; Metazoa; Chordata; Actinopteri; Perciformes; Eleginopidae
Exons: 3
Source: RefSeq, a predicted model, not a curated record